Molecule: ribosomal RNA, 467 nt
Filed under: uncultured bacterium
Lineage: Bacteria
Description: partial 16S ribosomal RNA
Rfam family: Bacterial small subunit ribosomal RNA
Source: RNAcentral
GAUGAACGCUGGCGGCGUGCUUAACACAUGCAAGUCGAACGGAAAGGCCCAAGCUUGCUUGGGUACUCGAGUGGCGAACGGGUGAGUAACACGUGGGUGAUCUGCCCUGCACUUCGGGAUAAGCCUGGGAAACUGGGUCUAAUACCGGAUAGGACGAUGGUUUGGAUGCCAUUGUGGAAAGUUUUUUCGGUGUGGGAUGAGCUCGCGGCCUAUCAGCUUGUUGGUGGGGUAAUGGCCUACCAAGGCGUCGACGGGUAGCCGGCCUGAGAGGGUGUACGGCCACAUUGGGACUGAGAUACGGCCCAGACUCCUGCGGGAGGCAGCAGUGGGGAAUAUUGCACAAUGGGCGCAAGCCUGAUGCAGCGACGCCGCGUGGGGGAUGACGGCCUUCGGGUUGUAAACUCCUUUCGCUAGGGACGAAGCGUUUUGUGACGGUACCUGGAGAAGAAGCACCGGCUAACUACGUG